RNAcentral lists this long non-coding RNA (1388 nucleotides) under Podarcis lilfordi (Lilford's wall lizard). The record is from RNAcentral. Lineage: Eukaryota; Metazoa; Chordata; Lepidosauria; Squamata; Lacertidae.
AGGAUUUGCUGCAGCUUCUCAUUUAGACGGACAGAACUUGGCAGAAGACCAAAGGGUUCCUUCUGAUCUCUCAGAGGCUUCCUGAGAGCACAGAUGGAUGAGCAAGACUCAGCUGGCCCUGGAACAGGAAGAGGCCAUGCCAACCAAACUGGGAGCAGUGGGGGUUUUUGGGAAAACUCGGUGCUGAAGAUUCAUGGUGAGGUGGACACCCUCCGCUCAGAGGUGCAGAGCCAGCAGUUGAGGCAGUUCUGCUGCCAGGAGGCCAAAGGACCCCGAGAGGUUUGCAGCCGACUCUACCACCUUGACCAUCAGUGGCUGAAGCCAGAAAGGCACACGAAAGCUGAGAUGCUGGACCUGGUGAUCUUGGAGCAGUUCCUGGCUGUCCUUCCCCCGGAGAUGGAGAGCUGGGUGAGGGACUGUGGAGCGGAGACCAGUUCGCAGGCGGUGGCCCUGGCCGAAGGUUUCCUCCUGAGUCAGGCACAGGAGAGGAAGCAGGAACAGAGUAAACAGGUGAGAGAGACUUUCCUCUGGAUACUCCCAAGGGGUUCCAAACAGGACAGAAAACAUCCCAUAAUGGUCUGCUGAUGGCCCAUCCUUUUUCUGGGAAAGAAUCGAUGGAAUGAGAUCUCGCACCCUUCAAGUCUUUGUCAUUCUCUUUCUAGUAUUUCUUCCCAUUCUCUGUUUUGAAUCCUUGUUUCUUUCUCAGGGAAAGGAUCUCUUUGCAGAAAUGGACCUGGAUUCCUGUGAGGCAGAGAGGCCUCCGUUGGACACCAGAGAGAGGCCACUGGGUAAGGAGGAAGGUGGUUUUUCUCCACUGGUCUCAUUCUCUUGGUUUUCCAACUCAUCUGAGGAUUCCUUUCAUCUUGUUUUGGGGGGAGACAGUUGGGAACAAGGGUCCAGAGGAGGGGAGAUGUAUUUCUGCACAAACAAACAUAUGAAAUGGGCACAAACCUCCAAAUGCACUCAGCGGGUGAGGCUUUCUCAAAGGCCCAUCUGUAGUUAGAGAUGCCCUGUUUCACCUGUGAGAGAAGCAGGCACUCCUGGCGUCCUGCUUACCUUUUUUCUCUUGCAGGUGGCAGAAGGAUGCCGGCAAGACCUCCUGAUCCGCCUUUUCAUGGGGGCAGAAGGGAAGCAGCGGCUGUGGAACCAGAUCAGGUCAGGGGAAGCUGCCUUGUGGGGACAGAGACCGAGGGAUGGAGCAAUGUCAUGGACUGGUUGGGCACAGAGGAGUGGUGGGAGGAAGCAGCCGGGGAACCAGGAAGGGAAGAUGGCUGAGAGCCCAAGGAUUGGAGGUGGAGGAAGGAUGAGCGGUCAGAGGAAGAAUAGGGAAAAGACUGGGAAGAGGAGAUAUCAGAAGCCGAAGAAGUAACAGGGUUUAGUGAGCUGGG